GUAAAAACAUAAAAUGCUCCUGGUAAAACGAAGGAAAACGGCACGCACACCGUUGGCCGCCAUGGAAGCCGCACGCCUCUCCCAGCCCGUCGCCGGCGCCGCCUCACUCAUCCGCCGCUCUCGUCCCUCCCCAGACCAUCCCAAUCCCUCGGCGGCUCCAAGCCGUGGCGCUCGCUUCGUCGGAGCUCCCCAAGCAGCAGGUAUCGUGCUCCCUCCUCGCCCGCCGCCGCCGCUUCUUCGGCCGUUCACUCGUCCCCUCCCUGGACGCCCACCAGAUUCAGAAGGAAUGAUUCGCUGGAUAUGGACUCGCUUCCUUAGUGGGAACCAUGGCGUCUGAACUCCGAACUACUAGGCAGUGGUUAAAUCAUGUGCUACCAACUCUUUUGGUUUUGUCAGGAAAAUAUUUGCACUUGGUGCUCUAGUUGUUUAUGGUGCCGAGUACCAUAGCACAGCUGUUUUGCUGCAGGCUGGGAGCUUGAACUUAAUUUCAACUUUGGACACAUGACCCAAUGGUUUCUAUGGCUGUUGCUGGAAGCAAGUGUGGGAUGGAUACUGGAUGGUCAGCCUUACACCUAUAAUACCUUCCUCAACUCUUUGGAUUUAUUUUCUCUUCUUUAUUUUACAUCUUUCUAUGUUUCUCCUUUUGCAAGGCCUAAAAUUCCAUUUUUGGUUACUUAUAGAAAAUUGUCUCCCUUUUAUUUUGGCUUCAGUUGCUGGAUAUAGCUUGCAUCUUGGUAACCAUGAGGUUGUGAGGAUGGCUUGGAAAAGAUUCCUUCACAAUGUUUGCCAAGGAGUACUAACAAUCUCAACAAUCUGCAAACUUCAGUCUUUAAUUAGGUUUUGAUAGAACCCAAACAAAACGUCUAGAUAGAUCCUGUACGUAUUUCCAUAGAUUAAUGAACAAACAAGCAUACGCUGUGUCUUAAGCAAGUGCCAGCCUUUUGGCUAUAGAAUCCUCUACCAAAUAAGUAUCUAUUACUAAAUACAUAGUAGAUACGACAAGAAUUUAUGGAGCAUACGUCAUGAUGUUACCAACGGUAAGUUUGACCGAUCUUGUGGUGAACCUUGUAUAUUUGGCAGUCAAUUAGACAGGUAAGAAUCAGAGUACAUAGACAGAUGAUGUUCAUGAACUCUUCUACUAAAUAAAUGAGUAGAGUUAUUGAGUA
This is a long non-coding RNA of Panicum virgatum (switchgrass), 1166 nucleotides long. RefSeq lists it as uncharacterized. The record is from RefSeq and is a predicted model, not a curated record. The transcript is spliced from 3 exons. NCBI's taxonomy places the organism in Eukaryota, Viridiplantae, Streptophyta, Magnoliopsida, Poales, Poaceae.